RNAcentral lists this long non-coding RNA (923 nucleotides) under Homo sapiens (human). Its description in RNAcentral is "HSALNT0182955". Lineage: Eukaryota; Metazoa; Chordata; Mammalia; Primates; Hominidae. The record is from RNAcentral.
CGCUGCUCUUCCCCGCGGAGCCCGCGCAGUCCGCGCAGCCCUCAUCGCAACUGGGCCCGCGCGCAGGCCUUACAUAGGAAGUCCUUCUAAAGAGCUGCCUGCCAGCUGCCCUUCCCCAGAUCCCGAAUAUCCUCCUGGCCAGGUGGAGCAGAGAACAGUUCCUCAGCUGGUCAUGCUGAGCUCAUACCCUGAUGGCUGCUCCAUGAGGUCAAGACUGGGUCUCCUCCCUCCUCCCCCUUCACCAAUGCCUGGUCUCACGGGGCUAGUUUUGACCCCCACGCUAUGGCAUCAUCGACCUCCCUCCCAGCUCCUGGCUCUCGGCCUAAGAAGCCUCUAGGCAAGAUGGCUGACUGGUUCAGGCAGACCCUGCUGAAGAAGCCCAAGAAGAGGCCCGGCUCCCUGACAUACCUGACACUGCAUUAUCUCAGUUAACUUUCAGCAACUAAGACAGGUCCACAAGUCCACAGUCAAAGCCGUGUCCCUGACUCCAGAGUGUGGGUUCUGAAUCACGAAGCUCUCUGCUCCUCAGCAACUCUGAGCAGUAGCCUCUUCCCCAUUUAGCGACAAUCUAGGAUUUCUUGGGGCCAAACAGAUGCCAGUCCUCCGUACCCCUUCCUUCCUGUAUACGUAGCCCUUCCUAAUCUAAGUCCACCUCCCCUCAGUGCUGAAAGUGGGCUUUGGGACUGAUGGAUCCUUGCUAGCAUAACGUAGCUCUGCCUGCAGACUCCCGGUGGUUGACUAGUCAGCUCUAGUGGGAAGUUCUGCUUAAGGUGGGCUGGGCUGGGGGUACCAGAUAUCAAAGGGCCUGGAGUAGUGCAAGGCCAUUUCUCUUAACCAGGCUGGUGGAACACUCUCACAUAAGGAUUCCAGAGUUCUGACACGUCCAAAACCUUUACCUUUAGAGGGCACUUUUAGGCAAGUCC